UAUUCGGAGCUAACAAAAACAAAC
This 24-nucleotide non-coding RNA is filed under the name Cricetulus griseus (Chinese hamster). The record is from RNAcentral. Lineage: Eukaryota; Metazoa; Chordata; Mammalia; Rodentia; Cricetidae.